This 301-nucleotide ribosomal RNA is filed under the name uncultured bacterium. RNAcentral describes it as "partial 16S ribosomal RNA". It matches the Rfam family "Bacterial small subunit ribosomal RNA", at positions 509 to 807 of the family's 1533-position model. The record is from RNAcentral.
CAGCAGCCGCGGUAAUACGUAGGGUGCAAGCGUUAAUCGGAAUUACUGGGCGUAAAGCGUGCGCAGGCGGUUCGUUAAGACAGAUGUGAAAUCCCCGGGCUUAACCUGGGAACUGCAUUUGUGACUGGCGGGCUAGAGUAUGGCAGAGGGGGGUAGAAUUCCACGUGUAGCAGUGAAAUGCGUAGAGAUGUGGAGGAAUACCGAUGGCGAAGGCAGCCCCCUGGGCCAAUACUGACGCCCAUGCACGAAAGCGUGGGGAGCAAACAGGAUUAGAUACCCGCGUAGUCCCUGUCUCUUAUAC